This 119-nucleotide ribosomal RNA is filed under the name Salmo salar (Atlantic salmon). The record is from RNAcentral. Lineage: Eukaryota; Metazoa; Chordata; Actinopteri; Salmoniformes; Salmonidae.
GCUUAUGGCCAUACCAGCCUGGGUACGCCCGAUCUUGUCUGAUCUCGGAAGCUAAGCAGGGUCGGGCCUGGUUAGUACUUGGAUGGGAGACCGCCUGGGAAUACCAGGUGCUGUAAGCA